Molecule: ribosomal RNA, 433 nt
Filed under: uncultured bacterium
Lineage: Bacteria
Description: partial 16S ribosomal RNA
Rfam family: Bacterial small subunit ribosomal RNA
Source: RNAcentral
AACGAACGCUGGCGGCAUGCCUAACACAUGCAAGUCGAACGAGACCUUCGGGUCUAGUGGCGCACGGGUGCGUAACGCGUGGGAACCUGCCCUUAGGUUCGGAAUAACUCCCCGAAAGGGGUGCUAAUACCGGAUAAUGUCUUCGGACCAAAGAUUUAUCGCCUUUGGAUGGGCCCGCGUUGGAUUAGCUAGUUGGUAGGGUAAAAGCCUACCAAGGGGACGAUCCAUAGCUGGUCUGAGAGGAUGAUCAGCCACACUGGGACUGAGACACGGCCCAGACUCCUACGGGAGGCAGGAGUGGGGAAUAUUGGACAAUGGGCGAAAGCCUGAUCCAGCAAUGCCGCGUGAGUGAUGAAGGCCUUAGGGUUGUAAAGCUCUUUUACCCGGGAUGAUAAUGACAGUACCGGGAGAAUAAGCUCCGGCUAACUCCGUG